Molecule: ribosomal RNA, 1328 nt
Filed under: uncultured archaeon
Lineage: Archaea
Description: 16S ribosomal RNA
Rfam family: Archaeal small subunit ribosomal RNA
Source: RNAcentral
ACUGCUAUCGGGGUGGGUAGCCAUGCGAGUCUGCGUCACGGGCAACGUGACGCGGCGCACGGCUCAGUAAAACAUGCUCAAACUGCCCUACAGACCGGGAUAACCUCUGGAAACGGAGGAUAAUCCCGGAUAGGUAAGAACUCUUGGAAUAGGUUCUUACCGAAAGGGUGCGGCGCUGAUGCCGCAUCGCACCGCUGUAGGAUGUGAGCAUGGCCUAUCAGGUUGAUGGUGAGGUAACGGCUCACCAUGCCUAAGACGGGUACGGGCCGUGAUAGCGGGAGCCCGGAGAUGGGUUCUGAGACAAGAACCCAGGCCCUACGGGGCGCAGCAGGCGCGAAACUUCUGCAAUGCGCGAAAGCGCGACAGAGUCACCCCGAGUGCCAUCCGCUGAGGAUGGCUUUUGCCCUGUGUAAAAAGCAGGGCGAAUAAGCGGGGGGCAAGUUCUGGUGUCAGCCGCCGCGGUAAUACCAGCCCCGCGAGUGGUCAGGACGAUUAUUAAGCCUAAAGCGUCCGUAGCCGGCCUUGUAAGUUCUCCCUUAAAUGGUAUGGCUCAACCAUACCGUUGGGGAGAAUACUGCAAGGCUAGGGGGCGGGAGAGGCGGGUGGUACUUGAGGGGUAGUGGCAAAAUACGAUAAUCCCUCGAGGACCACCAGUGGCGGAGGCGACACGCUAGAACGCGCCCGACGGUGAGGGACGAAAGCCGGGGUAGCAAAAGGGAUUAGAUACCCCUGUAGUCCCGGCUGUAAACGAUGCGGGCUAGGUGUCGCGUGGACUUUGAGCCCACGCGGUGCCGCAGGAAAACUGGUAAGCCCGCCGCCUGGGGAGUACGGCCGCAAGGCUGAAACUUAAAGGAAUUGGCGGGGGAGCACCACAAGGGGUGGAACCUGCGGCUCAAUUGGAGUCAACGCCUGGAAUCUCACCGGGGGAGACCGCAGGAUGACGGCCAGGCUAACGACCUUGCCAGACUCGCGGAGAGGAGGUGCAUGGCCGUCGCCAGCUCGUGUUGUGAAAUGUCCGGUUAAGUCCGGCAACGAGCGAGACCCCCACUUCUAGUUGGUAGCCGUCCCUCCGGGGAUGGCCCACACUAGAAGGACUGCCGGUGUUAAACCGGAGGAAGGAGGGGGCCACGGCAGGUCAGCAUGCCCCGAAACCUCCGGGCCGCACGCGGGUUACAAUGGCAGGGACAGCGGGAUCCGACCCCGAAAGGGGGAGGCAAUCCCAGAAACCCUGCCUCAGUUGGGAUCGAGGGCUGAAACUCGCCCUCGUGAACGAGGAAUCCCUAGUAACCGCGGGUCAACAACCCGCGGUGAAUACGUCCCUGCUCCUU